Molecule: long non-coding RNA, 393 nt
Organism: Seriola aureovittata
Lineage: Eukaryota; Metazoa; Chordata; Actinopteri; Carangiformes; Carangidae
Exons: 2
Source: RefSeq, a predicted model, not a curated record
ACUGAUGGAAUAACCCUGGGAAACCGAUAAGCUUUUCUCAAUGAAAGGGAGCUGGUGGAGUAACGCCUGGAUAUCAAGAGGGUUGGGCCUUAUCUGGUCACCAGUGUCAUUAACCCAGGCGGUACCAAGCUACCAAGGACUGCGGAGGUAAUCAGGCCCACACUGUGUCCCUGUACACUGCCAGCUCACACCUGGAGAGCUGGAAAGACGCCAAAGAGCAUUGACCUGCAGGACACCUGAUGCACAAGCCAAGAAGUCUGAAACCAUCACAGGAUGCAAGUGCCAGAGGAAUACCUGAACUACAGAGCAGUGGAGUCAAGGUCAGGUCAUAAGAUGAAUGACUCCAAUAAAGAGAUUACAUGCCAGACACAACUGGCAGCACCAGUCACCAAA